This 2566-nucleotide long non-coding RNA is filed under the name Marmota monax (woodchuck). The record is from RNAcentral. Lineage: Eukaryota; Metazoa; Chordata; Mammalia; Rodentia; Sciuridae.
GUUGCUCAUAGUGUCCAUUAUUAUUUUUUUUUUAAAGAGAGAGAGAGAGAGACAUUUUUAAUGUUUAUUUUAUUUUUUUUAGUUUUUGGUGGACACAACAUCUUUGUUUGUAUGUGGUGCUGAGGAUUGAACCCGGGCCGCACGCAUGCCAGGCAAGUGCGCUAUCGCUUGAGCCACAUCCCCAGCCCCUAGUGUCUAUUAUUGAUUGCAGUCCUUGAUAUACUCCCAGCAUAUCAGAGAUAAUCCUUUCUUGUAGGCAUAGGAAGGAUGAGCCUGGUUGUGAUUCAUAUAUUCUAUAUCUUAGAGCACUCAUAACAUGUUAGGUUCCAUGGCCAGAACUGGAGAAUCAGGCAUAGGAUAACAGUUCCUGCCCUGGGUUCACUCCACGAAUUGGUAGGUAUCCAGACUAAUAGUUACAGUGCAGUACAUAAGGGAACGUGGAUUCCAGCAGGAGCCCAGAAGAGGGUUCCCUAACCUGAGGAAAUGACAGCUGAGCUGAGUUUUCCAGGGAAAGCAUACAGGUAGAUGUUCUAGGCAGAAGGUGUGAAAGUGCAGAUGCCUGAGAGAAAGGUAUUUUUGAGGUACCACAAUGAGAAUGAUGAGACUGGAGGUUGGAGUGUAAGGAUCAUUUUGGAAGUUGAGAUUCAAGAAGCAAGCAGGAGUUGGGACAUGGGACAGGAGUUUGGCCUUCAUCCUAAAGACAUGGAGGCCACUGAUGGAUUUUUAGCUGGGGAGAAAUAGGAUAAAAUUUUUGUUGGCUAAAGGUCAUACUGGUCAGCAGCCUGCCUGUUCAAGGCAAGAGCAUUUUUUUGCUGUGAAGAAUGAGGGCCAGUGGAUUCAGUGUGCAAUAAAGGAUAGGAAAAUGGCCUUUUGCAUUUUCUUCUCUCCCCUGGAUCUUGAUUCAUCAAGAAGGCACUCCUUGCUUCCUGAGAUACAGCCCGGACACCUAGGCCUGUAACACAGUGGGCCCAGCCUUCUUGAUGCUGUGGUUUUAAGAGUGUGACAGGCAUUUCCUGCCCAAAAGGCACUUAAGGUAAAAUCAGAAAGACCAGAUGCACUUAAAAAUAAAAUAACAGGGGCUGGGGAUAUAGCUCAGUGCCACAGCUCUUACUACCAUGUGAUAGGCCUUGGCUUGAUCCCUGGUACCAUCAAAAUAAAAAAAUUGAGCUAAAAGGUAAGUGAAGUUGAGGGUAGGAGUACAUAUCUUUGGGGCAGGGUUGUAUCAAGGGGAAGAUUCCUGAAGACAGCAGACUUUGAGAUUGGCUUUGAAGCUGUUUAAGCUCUGGAUUCUCCAUUAUAGUUUCUGCAGGCCUUAUGAACUCCCUCCUGAGUUUAAGUCACAAUUGCAGCCUUACUUUUGUUUGUGUGGUUAUUAGAAUUGUGACCAUUUUCCCCCACAAACCCUUAGGUUUUAUGAGGUUGGAUUUUCCUCACCUCUGUAUCCAUUGAGCCAGCACACAGUAAACCUUCAAUUAAUAUUUGCUGGAUAAGGCUGGGGGUAUAACUCAGUGGUAGAGCCCUCCCUAGCAUGUUUGAGGCCCUGGGUUGGAUCCCCAGCACUGUGUGAAAAAGAAAAAAAUUGUUGGAUUAAUUAACGUGUGAGUGAGCAAAUGAGAAAAUGGUGAGAAAGAGGGAAUGAAAUCUUCAGGAUAGAAAAAUAUAAUAAACAAAGGGCAGGGGCAGAAACAGUAUAUUGAUCUCUUAUGUUUGUACAGUGCUUUAUUGCUCAAAAACGUCACCAUCUUAUUUGAUCUCUAUUGUCAACUAUCUUGAAAUGAUUAAGACAGGUGUUAUUCCUGGUUUACAAUGAGAAAAGAAAGAAGUUCAGUGAUUUGUCCAAAGUUUCACUGCUAUUAAGUAAGGAGAUCAGACUUGAACCUGAAUAUUUUAACACAAAGCUGGUGUAGUAACUUGAUUUCCUUUCUUCUUUCUCCUUUCCCAAGGGGAACAUACAGUGAGAUAUGGGUCUAGAGUGGUGAUCUGGCCAGGUCAUGGAAAAUCUUAAGUUUCAGUCUAAGGAAUUUGGACUUUAUCCUCCAGCCUAUGGGAGGUUUUUUGUUUCAUUUUGAGUUUUUGAAAGAUUUUGUGUAUUUAUUUAUUUGCAUUAUUGAAGAUUGAACCCAGGCCCUUAAGCAUGCUAGACAAGUGCUGUACCACUAUGCCACAUCCCUAGCCCUUUUUGUUUUUUUCAGGGUCUCACUAAGUUGCCCAGGCUGGCUUACAAUGUGAUCUUCCUGCCUCAGCUCCCAAGUAACUGGGAUUACAAGCGUCCACCACUGCACCUGGCUUAGAAGAUAUCAAAUAAAGGAUAAAUAUUAAUGGUAUUUGUGAAGUGUGGUAUAAAUUUAAUUGCAUAUUAAUAUUUAUUUAUUUAUUUUUUUAAAUAUUUAUUUUUUAGUUCUUGGCGGACACAACAUCUUUGUUUGUAUGUGGUGCUGAGGAUCGAACCCGGGCCGCACGCCUGCCAGGCGAGCGCGCUACCUCUUGAGCCACAUCCCCAGCCCCAUUAAUAUUUAUUUAAAAUAAACAUAUGGAAAAUAAAUUUAGUUUUAAGAACCAGGAGUCA